This 505-nucleotide ribosomal RNA is filed under the name uncultured fungus. Its description in RNAcentral is "SSU rRNA". It matches the Rfam family "Eukaryotic small subunit ribosomal RNA", at positions 569 to 1078 of the family's 1831-position model. The record is from RNAcentral. Lineage: Eukaryota; Fungi.
AGCAGCCACGGUAAUUCCAGCUCCAAUAGCGUAUAUUAAAGUUGUUGCAGUUAAAAAGCUCGUAGUUGAAUUUCGGGAUUAGUACGUUGGUCGUGCCUUCGGUACGUACUGGUGUUACAGAUUCCUACCUUCUGACGAACCAUCAUGUCAUUAAUUUGGUGUGGCGGGGAAUCAGGACUGUUACUUUGAAAAAAUUAGAGUGUUUAAAGCAGGCUCGCGCUUGAAUACAUUAGCAUGGAAUAAUGAAAUAGGACGUUGACCCUAUUUUGUUGGUUUCUAGGAUUGACGUAAUGAUUAAUAGGGAUAGUUGGGGGCAUUAGUAUUCAAUUGUCAGAGGUGAAAUUCUUGGAUUUAUUGAAGACUAACUACUGCGAAAGCAUUUGCCAAGGAUGUUUUCAUUAAUCAAGAACGAAAGUUAGGGGAUCGAAGACGAUCAGAUACCGUCGUAGUCUUAACCAUAAACUAUGCCGACUAGGGAUCGGAUGAUGUUAUUUUUAAUGACUCA